This 490-nucleotide ribosomal RNA is filed under the name uncultured bacterium. RNAcentral's name for it is "partial 16S ribosomal RNA". It matches the Rfam family "Bacterial small subunit ribosomal RNA", at positions 30 to 507 of the family's 1533-position model. The record is from RNAcentral.
AUUGAACGCUGGCGGCAGGCCUAACACAUGCAAGUCGAAUGGUAACAGGAAACAGCUUGCUGUUUCGCUGACGAGUGGCGGACGGGUGAGUAAUGUCUGGGAAACUGCCUGAUGGAGGGGGAUAACUACUGGAAACGGUAGCUAAUACCGCAUAACGUCGCAAGACCAAAGAGGGGGACCUUCGGGCCUCUUGCCAUCAGAUGUGCCCAGAUGGGAUUAGCUAGUAGGUGGGGUAACGGCUCACCUAGGCGACGAUCCCUAGCUGGUCUGAGAGGAUGACCAGCCACACUGGAACUGAGACACGGUCCAGACUCCUACGGGAGGCAGCAGUGGGGAAUAUUGCACAAUGGGCGCAAGCCUGAUGCAGCCAUGCCGCGUGUAUGAAGAAGGCCUUCGGGUUGUAAAGUACUUUCAGCGGGGAGGAAGGGAGUAAAGUUAAUACCUUUGCUCUUUGACGUUACCCGCAGAAGAAGCACCGGCUAACUCCGUG